This is a non-coding RNA of Petromyzon marinus (sea lamprey), 9522 nucleotides long. NCBI's taxonomy places the organism in Eukaryota, Metazoa, Chordata, Hyperoartia, Petromyzontiformes, Petromyzontidae. The record is from RefSeq and is a predicted model, not a curated record.
UGACAAGCCACUUCGUUGAGCUAUCAUUUGUGGCCCGAUCGCUUCUAUUUAAGAGCUAUAUAGCUCAGUGGGUCUUACCUGGUAAAAUAAAAUAGUAUCGUUUAAAACAAGAUGGUUUGCAGUUAGCUGCACAUGCCCAGUGGUAUUGGCAGUAGGCGGUGGAUGAACAGACCUUCCUGAGAAUAGUUCACGAUUAAAAUUUCCACUUAUUAUUAUGGGCAGACACGUCGCCACCGUUGGAGACGGUUCUUACGCCACGCUGAAAAAAAUAGUUGAAAUGUUUCUCGGCUUGCUGUGCUGUGGAGAACAGCACAAAUUAGGUUCAUACCGAUCGCACCACCGUCGGCUUACGUUUUUAAAUGAAAGUGCGCAUGGCUCUUGUGAAACGCGGCUGCCGUUGCUGCAUCGGCGGUUGUCUUGGUUGUGUCGAUGUUGCGAGGCUGUUGAGGUGUAAGGAGUAAGCCGCAUCGCUAUUUGCUGGUUAAGGGCUCUUUAUUUCUGCUUAAUUUAACGCUGCUAUUAACUUGGUGGUAAUGACACCAACAGUUUGGAAUAAUGCUACAGAAACACUGCCGACAUGAAUUCAAGCCAUGCUGUUUGUGGCAUUUUAAUCAGCGGGCUUCAGCAUUAAAAUGAAGAAUAAAUGCAUCAAAUGGCAGGAAUCUUUCUGGAUUACCCACUAAGUUGCAUUCCAUAGCCCUCUGUGCACGUUGACCAUAGCAUAUUAGAAAUAAGUUCACCCUUCGACAACAGAAUUGCAAGAGAUCUGACCUUUAGAGUGUGUGGUGAUUAUCCAGCUGGUGUCUUGCAGGGCAUGACAAGACACAUAUGUACACUACAUAUAUACACAGUAAUACAUAUUCUUUGGGUCUUUCGGUAAAGUCACGUCGAUGGGUUCAAAGAAAAUAACAAAACACUUCAGAAAGACGACCGCUUGUGUUGCGAUCAAAACGUCGUAGUUUUUUGUUUUUUUAACCUAUCUACGUGACUUUACCGAAAGACCCAAAUAAUAUGAAUUCCUGCAGUCACAAAAGCUUUAAGUUAACACAGUAAUACAGUUGAGUACAAUUUGUAUUAAAUAGUGCAUCUCAAGAUCCCACACCUAAACACUGUGCAUGUUUAUUUUGUAGAGAGAGGCAGUAAGUCAUUGGUAGAUGGAACAAAACAUUUGAUUAUUGAGCCUAGGAUUAAACGGGUUCAGGGAGCCCACAGCAUGAUUGGCAGGGGGAAGGGAGUCAAACUAAACUAAAAACUAAACGAAAAACUAAACUUUUUUUUUAUUUUACCAGGUAAGGCCCACUGAGCUAUGUAGCUCUUAUUCAGAAGCAACCUGGCUAUCAUGUGGAAAUUUACAGCAGCCAAAUACUCUAAGCGGAUGUUUCUAAAUAAUGGAGGGAAAAUGAGCAGCAUAUACAGUGUCCAUUGUCAGAUGAUAACAGCAGAGAUCCUAGUCAGUGACAGUCAGUUCAUGUUUUCAUAUGAACCCCAGUGUAGGUCAUUGAGAAAUGAAUACAGAGCAGUUUUGGGCAUUGGCAGAUAUGACUGCAGUAGCUCAGCAAUGGGGAUUUUUCGUGGGUAGAUGUGAAAGGGGACUGUGUCACAUGACCAUCAGACAGACCUGUGUGUCUGCAUCCAUUAUAUAAACAUAUAGUGUGUACGCUGUAGAUUUUCAAUAUUUGUGUACGUGUCAUGACAUGUUUGCUAUGUGGGCCUCACUUGAGGGCCUGGGCGACAAAGAAAUCUAAAAUAACAUACAAAUAUAUGUUUUCAAUGUCACAUUAGCUUCGUAAAGUUACAUAAUCAUACGUAUGUAGCAUAAAAAUCACAAUGCUGUAACAUGUAUCUGUGUUAACAAAUCCGGCAAUUUUUACUGCUUGUAAUCCGGCCAUCUAUCCCAGCGGGUACACGUGACCCGACUCUUACUCUGCUUGCGUACGAGGUGGACACUUCCAAAACCGAAAAAUCUCCAGCUGUGCACAAACCCAAGCGCACAGCCGAAUCUGGGAGCAGCGCGGCCAUUUGAAUGAUCGCACUAGACCGCGGCAAGGUAAGGUAAAAGGUAAAAACAACGAGCCUACCUUUACCUUACCUUUUACCUUACCACGAUCAAAUUACCCGAUUUACAGGGUAAUUAACGGGGUACUACACAUGAAAAAGGUUUAUAAUAGGUAAAUGCUAAGUAGAGCGCUUUAUUCACCGCCCUCCAUAACCUCAUCCCAGUCGUCUUGGUUGAUGACUAUCUCAUUAACAACCUGAUCAAGUUCGUCAUUGCCGUCGUCCUCGGAUGAAUGACAGGCAAUAAGAUCCUGCGCCGCUCCGGCCCAUUUAGACAGGACCUUGAGGCAGCUGGCCGCAAUCCAUGAGUGCAAGCACAUGGACUGGAUGAAGAGCGUCAACGACAGCGACUGGCAAACACGUGUGAACUCCCGCCCGGCUCCGCUAUUCGCGCGUUCGCAGGGAGUUGAUCUCACUGGCGCUCUAAAGUAGUCGCAGGCCAUCUUGUCGUGGGCGGGGAGCAGCUCUUUGCGGGGAGACCAUCACUGCAUUACGUCAAUGAAGGCGCUGGCGGUCUGACGCCCAUGCUCAGAAAACGAUCGACUUCAUCGCCGUCAUCGAUGGAGCUGCCGACGUUGCUGAACAGGGCGCUGAACAGCGACCCCUCCGCCAUAUGGGCAGCGACUGCCGUCGGCGGGAUCGCGAGCACGGCCGAGUAGCGAUGCUGCAGGACAGAGCGGAUCAUGGCCUUCAGUGUAGCCAGCUCGUCUUGGUCUGACGUUUUCGGCAGCUGUGGAUUCACCGCAAUCGCAAUGACGGCACGAGAUCCAAUGUCGACUUGCGGUCUGCCGCCAACGAGGUCAUGACCUGGCGCGGCAUUCGCAGGAAUGCUGUCACGCCCUCGAUGUUUUGCUUCUGCAGUUCAGAGAAAACACCGACGCCGAUCACAUCCUGGAAGCGUGAUGAUGGCAUCGUCUCCCAUGUCAACCGUCGAAUUCCACCUGGUCGGCAAGUCCUGCUGGGUCGGCUCCCUUGCUGGCGAGCUUGGCGAUCUCGGCCUCGCGGCGGUACGACUGCCGGACGACCUUGCUGCGCCUGAUAUGGACGGGCGCCUCGCGCAGUUCGGCGUUGGUCAACUUGAUCAGUUUGAGAACUUGGACAAUGCCGAUCUGGACCGAAUGAUCCGCGCAGCGAAUAUAGUGGCAAGCCCGCAACUUCUCAUAUCCGGCGUCCGCGUUGACAGUACUGAUUGCAUCGGAGCCAGUGUCGCUGGUGACAGCGAGCAGCUUCGUCGAGACAUCAUGCCCGAGGCUUUGGAGGUGCUCAAACAGAGCAGUGCCAAUGCGCUUGCCGACACCCCUUCCGGACUGCACAUCGAGGAUCGUCAGCAGCAUGGAUUUCGACGCACCAGAUUUGGUGUCGAUCCAGUGCACCGUGCCAAUCCAAAAUCCCUUCAGGUUGCGGCUCAACCACUCAUCGAUGGUGAGCGAAAUGGCGACAUCCAGGUUGGAGAAGAACGCCCUGACGAUGGGCAGCAUGAUGGCGUGUUGCUCGACAAUCCUGCGAAUGACAGUGCGGGUCGACGGGCCCUCGUAUCCCUGCAUCAAUGUGUGGACCAAGGUCUUGAACUUGUCGCUGUCGAUGGCUCAUAAAGAGAUUGCACCGUGGAUAACAAAAUCAACCACCGCGUUCUCAAACUUUACCAGGAGGCGAUCCGGGAUUGCUGGCCGGCUCAGCGUUUGCUGCAUUAGGCGGCUCGCCGAUGCCGACGUCCCGACCUCGCUGCCUGGGGAGAGCACGUUGUGCUUCUUGAGGUGGGCUUUCCACCUCGACGUGUUCGUGUGGGAGGAAAGCCUCCGAUUCGCGCCGUUCGCUACGUACGCUGCCAAAGAGAUUCAACAUGCACACGUACAGCCAUAGGAGCCGGGACCCCCUUUUCUGACCGUAGUGCAGCGCGAAGGCCGAGAGCGUUGUGCGCGCAGGAAUGUGUUGCAGGGCAGCUGUGUCCGCGGUGAACAGAGCCUCCUCUGUUGGGAGAAUGCCGCUGAGCUCUGAAGGUUUUGGUCACCGUCACGACGGGUUCUCUCCAACUAAGAAUCCCACCGGGAACACAAAGCGAGGAAACGGAAAGGAAAAGAAAACCCCGAGUCAGUUGCUGGAACUUGGAGGCACAGAUUAACGUUUCACGCUGUGUUCUCGAGGGUGAAUAGUUUGUUUUGUUCCCUUAUGGGGUUUUUUUCCAGACCUUUGCAAAAUAGUGCAUUCGUUAACAAGAAAGGUCUAGUGAGUAAAAAAAAUAUAUAAAAAGACGAUGUACUUAGCAGGGUGGUUAAUGGGAUGGAAUGCUUUCAAUGGUCAUUUGUUCAUGGCUGAGCUUUAAAAGUGCAAAGUCUGAAAACGACUUUAGAACAGAAUUGACAUGCUUUAUCCCAAUUUCAUUUGGAAAAAAAAAAAAUAAGUCUCCUUCUCUGAUAAUAACAAAAAAACCAACUUGAUUAAAUGUUACACGUGGGCCGUUACCAUAAAACCAGUAACGGCAAUGAAGUCGCAUUUCAUCACGUGCGUCUUCAACUCAAAGCGGCGGUAAUAACACACCCCGAGCGCGCGAGCACACGCCGCCGAAAUUGGCAGCGGGCAAUGAACAAUAUUCCUGCAUAGAGAAAGCCUCACAAGCUGAGCACUUCAGGCACUUCGUGUAAGCCACCUUCUGCCGCGCAAGCGCAGAGGGCCGGGAGAGUCUUUCCCGCCAACUCGUGGGGCCAUGCACCGCGGGCGCUUCCACUCCACCAGCCUCAGUGAGCCACUUCUCAUUCAAGGCAAACCCAGCGAUGUCCACAUUCACGAUGGCGAUGAACUGAGUUGCCGUCUUUCGUGUCUCCAAAGGGGGCCGCUUUACGUUUGACGGCCCCGCGCAAAUGUGCGUGGCGCGUCGGCGUCGCGCGGUCUCCCCGCGCGAGAUUACAAGUGUUGCAGCAUGAAAGCUGCUUUGGUAAUGGUCGUUGUGGCUGCCGUUUUAUGCGUGUUGAGGAGGAUUUAAAUGGCAAAAUAACAACGUGCCAACGCAGCGGAGCCAGCGGGGGUUGCCAGGGAGCUUAGACAACAAUCUGCGGAACACGUGGAUGAAUGAGAGCGGACCGAGCAAGGAACGUCUCACUUGCGCUUAAUUGCAAGGAAGACGUUACGGUCAAACAUGUACACAAUCCGUCAUGUAACUGCAACACACUUCCCUGAUCACAAGCGAUGAUUUGUUUCAACGUUUAUGGUGACCGCUUCGAUUUUAAAGAAGUUAAUGCAUUUAGAAUGUUUUGUCACGCGGCAAAUGAAAUGUAACCGUUUAAUUGUGGCUCUUACUAAUACAGCAGUGUAAAUAUAAUGCAUACUGAGCGUAUGCCUUUGGACAUAUUGCUGACAGUUCGUGUGCAUGCGCGAAUGCUGUUGCUAAUCGCCAGGAAUCUUACUGAAUCGGUAACAAACAUUUUGACCAAUAGGCCAGAACCAUGGAGACCCCCAGGUCAGGGCUAUUGGGAAAUAAAUAUAUUGGCCAUCUGCUGCGUGUCAGAUAACAGCACAAAAAAAUCCUUACGUAUAAACAUUAGAGUUCACGGCCAUGAAUGUGCUUUUACUGAUAAUGCCAUGAUGUAAUUAUAGAUAAUGUCUGCAGCUUGCUUUUCACGUGUGAGAAAUGCAGAACGUGCCACUUAAUGGCAGUGGUAGCUCGCAGAAGCGUGCAUGCGAAGCAAAUGUUUAUUCACUGCGAUUACUGGAGACACCGCACCUCAUGCUAUCCUGCAUAGCCUCUCUGGUAGGAUUUGAAUGUUAUGUUUGUGCAUGGUCGGUAUAAUGUUGUAUAAUUAUGUAAUAAUGCGGACCUCUCCGCAAAAUAUAUUGAAACUCUUAGCCAUCCAUAAAUACAUUUUUUUAAUGAAGAUCACUGGGAACCAAGCAAUGGACAAUUUAUAGUCCAACCAACCUCGUGAACUCCUGUGAUUUAGAAAAGUGUUUUCUGUCAUGAACCGCAAAGAUUCACCGAGAGAAGCAUGCUUGGAAUUACACGGAGAGACAGAAAGAGGAGCACAUGGACCAGAGAACGUACACUGGUUAGUGACAUCACGAUGAGUGUUCACAACGUGUACAGGUUAGUGACAUCACGUUAAGUGUUCAUCACGUACACAGGUUAGUGACAUCAUGUUGAGUGUUCACAACGUGCACAGGUUAGUGACAUCACGUUGAGUGUUCAUCACGUGCACAGGUUAGUGACAUCACGUUGAGUGUUCACAACGUGCACAGGUUAGUGACAUCACGUUGAGUGUUCACAACGUGCACAGGUUAGAGACAUCACGUUGAGUGUUCACAACGUGUACAGGUUAGUGAUAUCACGUUGAGUGUUCACAACGUGCACAGGUUAGUGAUAUCACGUUGAGUGUUCACAACGUGCACAGGUUAGUGACAUCACGUUGAGUGUUCACAACGUGCACAGGUUAGUGAUAUCACGUUGAGUGUUCACAACGUGUACAGGUUAGUGACAUCACGUUGAGUGUUCACAACGUGCACAGGUUAGUGAUAUCACGUUGAGUGUUCACAACGUGCACAGGUUAGUGACAUCACGUUGAGUGUUCACAACGUGCACAGGUUAGUGACAUCACGUUGAGUGUUCACAACGUGUACAGGUUAGUGACAUCACGUUGAGUGUUCACAACGCGCACAGGUUAGUGACAUCAUGUUGAGUGUUCACAACGUGCACUGGUUAGUGACAUCACGUUGAGUGUUCACAACGUGUACAGGUUAGUGAUAUCACGUUGAGUGUUCACAACGUGCACAGGUUAGUGACAUCACGUUGUGUGUUAACAGCGUGCACAGGUUAAUGACAUCACGUUGAGUGUUCACAACGUGCACAGGUUAGUGACAUCACGUUGAGUGUUCACAACGUGCACAGGUUAGUGACAUCACGUUGUGUGUUCACAACGUACACAGGUUAGUGACAUCACGUUGAGUGUUCACAACGUGCACAGGUUAGUUACAUCACGUUGAGUGUUCACAACGUGCACAGGUUAGUGACAUCACGUUGAGUGUUCACAACGUGCACAGGUUAGUGACAUCACGUUGAGUGUUCACAACGUGCACAGGUUAGUGACAUCACGUUGAGUGUUCAUCACGUGCACAGGUUAGUGACAUCACGUUGAGUGUUCACAACGUGCACAGGUUAGUGACAUCACGUUGAGUGUUCACAACGUGCAAAGGUUAGUGACAUCACGUUGAGUGUUCGUCACGUGCACAGGUUAGUGACAUCACGUUGAGUGUUCACAACGUGCACAGGUUAGUGAUAUCACGUUGAGUGUUCGUCACGUGCACAGGUUAGUGACAUCACGUUGAGUGUUCACAACGUGCACAGGUUAGUGACAUCACGUUGAGUGUUCACAACGUGCACAGGUUAGUGACAUCACGUUGAGUGUUUACAACGGUGAGUGGGCACGGGGAGGAUGUGUCACCCCUAAAAGGAUAAUAGCCAAUGGUCGAGACUCGUAAAGGAGUGGCAGUUAAAGGAGGUUAACCGGACAAACGACGUGGAAAUGGAGUGAUGAUGGAGUGAUGUGCUCAUGUGCUGGAGCUCGAUUCAUUUUUGCAUCACAGGAUCAUCAGGGAGGGUGUCCAUUUCAGCCGGCCUUCAUGCUGAAGUGGUUCGAUCAUGGCUCAUGAUGAUUCCAUUUUUUUUAUUUUCGUUCCCAAGAAAUGCUUUUAAAUAUCACCUCUGCUGUGCAUAUGUGAGGCUGAGAGAGGGCACCAGACAAUGGUUGUUCACAUUUUUUAUGUUUUAAAUGUUAGGGCCACAUCAUGACUCGUGACACAUUGCUGGAAAUUGCCUGUCAUUUCAAACAACACUGAAAAUUUCCAUGAGUGCAGUGGAUAGACACCACAUCAAAAUCCAGGUGUGGUGUGUGCUUGUAAUCGAGCGGUUUGGAGGCAAGGAUCGGUGGAUCAGAAAUAGAUGGAACAACAAGUGGGUAUUUUAACCCACCGUGUUUGACUUAUGAGUAUAAUUCCUCAUAUGGCCAUGGGUCUUCUCCGGCUACUUGUGGUUUUACUCCACAUGCCAAAAGUACCGUCGAAAAGGAAUUGGCCAUAAACUGAUGAAGCUCCGCUGACUCAGAUAUGAGCAGCCAGCUUGGACUUGGUUCCGACAUCCGAACGUGAUGCCCACUCUAACACGGCAGCUGAUACGAUUGCGACGCCCCAUCUCUGCAGGGUUACGAUUGAACCACGUUGUUGUUGUUGUUGCCGCGAGAGGUGUAACAUGCACGGAUUUUAUUUUCAUAUCAAUUUUUAACUUGACGAUGCUUGCAUCGAAUGACCUGCGUCAGAAUCGAUUUUUCCCACCUUCAAGAUACACGUAUGUAAACAAAAGUAGAAGUGAUUUCCUCCUCACGUGACCGUUGAGGCUCAUCUCCUGUUUACUGCCCCGAGCCAGUGGUGGAUAUUCCUCAUUGCUAUGGCGGGGGCGAGUCUAUUAAUAGAACAACAACUGUUCAUUUCCCUAAUUUUAUCCUCCCUACAGAGAUGAUGGGCUGAGUCAACCCCCAACAAGGAUUUGAACUCCCAACCUUCCAAUGGCGAGCCACUCGCGCCACCGAUGAGCCAGCCACGUUGCGUGUCGUGAGUUCCUGCGACCGCUGUAAUCACGGAUCACUGCACUGUGAACGAGCUGUCAUCCCGGAUGAUAAGGCAUUCGCUAAUGAUUCCACAGUCGCUCAUGACAUGCUCAUAUUAAGCAUCGUACUGUGCCGCAUUUCUAACGUGAAUAUUGGGGACAGGCGAGACCCAGGAGGGGAGUAAACAAGAGGAGGUUGCGUGUGUGAGGGAAUGAGAAUAGUCCGUCUCUUACACGGCACGCUGAACACAGUGGGAUCAAUUACUCGGUGUCUCUGUCAAAAUGUUACAGCGGAGGAGAGAGGGAAAUAACCGUACUGCAACGUAAAUAGAAUCCCGUGCAGGGUAUGGGGAGAGAAAUCAUCACGCGUGGAGGGGAGGAGGAGGAGGAGGCCUGAGCUUGGACUUGAACUGGGCGGUUGCAAGGCAGCAACAUCAGCAGUGAGGAUGAGCAAUGGGACCAUAGUUCGGUAGAUAAAGGCGCCGCCUUGCCUUGAGGCGAUUGGAGAUGUGAGGGCCCAGCUCGGUGGAGUGAGUGAGUGGAGGCCACACGAGAAGGGGCAGAGCGAGAUGAGAUUUGCAGGCAGACACGGUUUAAGCCCGUGCUGGUUUCGAAAAGUGUGUGAAAAUGCAUUGCAAUAAUCUCUGAAGAGAUUGUUCCUCUAAAGGCACCUAGUUCUAAAUGAAUAGUUUUCUGUAGUACGCCGAUAUAAAUAACUUAAUAUUAUGGAGUCGGUGCGUAAUUACGUUUCUACGGUUUUAUGAAGCAAUUUCCUUUCCCAAUGGCGUAUUAAAAAGCCAUGUCAAAUGUGUUUAGUCUCGCAUUCAUUAAACCGCGCUUUAAUAAACAACAUCGCCCCCAACAGUAUUACAGUAGCAUACAAA